CGAUUGUUAGAAAAGUCCUUCAAAUAAUGAGUAAAAAUUCAAUCAUAGCUCGUGAAUCUGUUAACCAACCCCUAAACCUUUGUAGUGUAAAUAUCUCACUACACGUCAUGUGAGCCACAUUCACCUGAACAGUCCACAUCAACAUCAUGAGGAAUAGUUUGUAAUAGUUUCAAUGAGCUGUAAAGAGAACUCUUUAGAAUCAGAAAAGUUAAAGACAAACCCUGAAAUGAAGUGUUUGUGUUUGCUCUGUCAGAGCUCCUUCAUUAACAAUCAGUGAGCUGAAAAAAAACAAAUUUCUGAUUUAUUUACACCUUACCCAACUUCCUGUUUUUACUUCCUUUACUUCCCCUCCACUGACAUGUUCUUGGUUUAAUCUGCUGACAAUAUGGAAAAUCUAGAAUAACAUCAGUACGAGUUCAUCCAGGAACAAGAACUGUGUGGAUCACACAGAACAGGACUAAACUAAAGAUCUCACCUCAGAUUAUGUUGUUCUCUGUCCAUAUCGUGGCUGUGCGCUUCUGAGCGCUGCACGUGCAUCUCGUCUCUAUGGCAACAUUCAGCGCUUCUCCGUUUCUUUUUACUCUACGCUUUGUUUCAGAUUGUUUUAUUUCCUCCAUUAUGAUCUUCUUUAUGAUUGGCUGGUUGAUGAGUCUUCUGUUGGGGCGACCGCCUGCUGCUGCUCUCUUAUUGGGAACAAGUGAACAAAGACCCUGGCGCUCAGAAAUAAACGGCAGGUGGACACAGACCUGCCCUGCAUCUACUGUCUCCUCGGUCCUCGCUCCUCAGCCGAACAGGAAGUAGUUUUAGACCCGCAAUGUUAAGGAACGUCCCAAAGCUCUUGUAACUGAACGGAGGAGAGAGGAUCGAGGAGAGAGGAGGGAGAUCCGAGGAGCGAUGAUCGAGGAUACACGAGAGCUGACUUUGCGGAAGUCUUUUUACUGACAGGCUCGCCCCCUUAUCAAAUAUCACUCAUUGAUUGGACGCUGCAGCGGAUCAGACUUCAAUGAAACUUGUCAACAUCAGCCGAGUUUAAUAACGGAGAAAAGACGGACAUUAAAAAGAAGCUAAACGGACCGUCGGACAUUUAAACAGACUGUAACAUCUGUCAGUUUGUAAAAAGUUAAAAAAGUGUCUGACAUGAAGAGAUAUGAAGCAUAAGUUCUAUAAAAUCAAUAUAAUGCAGUGUAGACCGAUCUCUCCCGACUUUAUAUUUGAUUUGUUUUUGAUUCACUGUCAAACAAAAAGUCUGUUAAUAUGAAGUGUUAAAAUCAAAUGAUCAUAAACGAUUCCUUCAUAACUAUAACAGGUAGGUUAUAUUUCUUUUCAUGAUCAGUCAGACUGUCUGUUUUAAUUUAUUAUAUUGAGAAUGAACGGCUGACAGCACUAAACAUUGCUACUGUGUGUAUUUUAUUAGAAUUAAUACAGUUCAUAUUUGUGCGGA
Molecule: long non-coding RNA, 1441 nt
Organism: Labrus mixtus (cuckoo wrasse)
Lineage: Eukaryota; Metazoa; Chordata; Actinopteri; Labriformes; Labridae
Exons: 2
Source: RefSeq, a predicted model, not a curated record